Molecule: small RNA, 133 nt
Filed under: Klebsiella pneumoniae
Lineage: Bacteria; Pseudomonadati; Pseudomonadota; Gammaproteobacteria; Enterobacterales; Enterobacteriaceae
Also listed under: 1 other name
Description: partial RtT sRNA
Rfam family: RtT RNA
About the family: This family represents a bacterial cis-regulatory element known as RtT RNA. The exact function of RtT is unknown although it is thought that it may be involved in changing the cellular response in relation to amino acid starvation.
Source: RNAcentral
UGGUCGCAGGUUCGAAUCCUGCACGACCCACCAAUUUCAGCAUUUAACUCAGAUGCUGAACGUGAAGGAUAACGUUGCGUCAGCAACGGCCCGAAGGGCGAGGCAAAGCCGAGUCAUCCUGCACGACCUACCA